UCUCAAGAGACUAAACCAAAGCCACCUAUUAGGAAAAAAAAUAAAGCAACUACUACACUUCGAAUUCUAUAUCCAUCGUACAGGACUUCAGCAAGCAUAGCUCUUUGCAAUCUGUCAAUCAUCAGCACGACAGUCUUCCAUUUGUGCAAGUCCCUUCCUCGAACAUCUAUUUAGAGGCCAAUCUCCUUACUGACUCUGUCCCAUUGAUAGGGGCUAGAUUGAAAUCUCAAGGCAUUCCUUUCCCUUCAUAUAAAACACACCACUAUAGCAAAGACAACUCAUAAUUGAACCUUUCCCUUACUUUUCACUUACCCACCGGUUGGCCAACUCUAGUUCACUUUGCCAGUUCCUAGUAGUUCUAUUGAACCCCAUCUAGACCAACAUCCUUUGACACAAUGAUCUAGCAACAACACCAAUCAAAAUAGAUAUGAUCAAAGGCUUCAACAUAAGCUCCAUAGAAAACACAAUCAAGUAUCACCUGAAUACCAAACUUUAGUAGCCGCUCCACAGUUACCAAUCUUUUCCAAGCAGCCAACCACAAGAUAACUUUGUGUCUAGGAUGGAUAAGUUGUGGUAGUGCUAUACUCUUCCAGGGCACCUUUGGGUAGGAUGGCAUAAGGCUGAGGUACAUCUUUUGAAUAGAAAAAUUGUCUGCUACCACUUCUGCAUUCAGAUUUGCAUCUAAAUCCCCUUAUAGAUCCAUUUCUUCUGGAUACUUUCUAACCUCUAAUAUUUUCCUCACUACCCAUAAUGCAUUGACUGGUAUGGUGCAUUGAUCCAUUGGCUUAUUUUUUUUAUGUAAAAUAUGUGCACCCAUUUUAUCCACAAAUAAUCGUUUUCCUCAAGCACUACCCACCACAACUUUAAUAUAGCAGUAGUAUUCCACAACUUCAGGUUUUUGACAUUCUGAGCCCUGCAGCCUUUGGAAGACAGAGCUUUUCCCAAGAGACCAUGGCCUUCUUUGAUCUCAAAGUUGAACCUGUCCACAAGACUGCAGUAUGGGACAGAUGAUUGACACAAGACAUGAAUCAUAAGGCCUUUACCAUCUCACCUCUUUAAAUUCCUUUACAUCAUGCUCCGUUACAAACUCUCCAGACCUUAUUCACAAAUAUUUGGGACAUCCGAGUCUAUUCAAGCUACAAAGAUGGUGUCUAGUUUGUCUAGUUUAUCCACAUUAGAUUGUGAGUUAUGUUAACUUAGGAAACACACUCGUGCCAUAUUUUCACGUAGUAUUGAGAGUCGUUCAGAGUUUAUUUUCUCAUUAAUUCAUUCUUAUAUUUGGGGUCCUAGUAGAGUCAGUUUACCCUUAGGAUUUCAUUACUUUGUUAUUUUCAUUAAUGUUUUUUCAUGAUGCACUUGGGUUUUCCUAAUGAAAGAUCGUUCUAAAUUAUUUUCUAUAUUCAAAAGUUUUUGUGUUGAAACACAAAAUUAAUUUGGUGCUUCUAUUCGUACUUUUAGUAGUGAUAAUGCCUUAGAAUACUUAUCCUCCUAGUUUCAAAAAUUUAUGACUCACCAAGGAUUUAUUUACCAGACAUCAUGUCCAUACACUCUUCAGUAUAACAGUAUAGUAGAAAGGAAAAAUAGGCAUCUCAUUGAGAUUGCUCGCACUCUUCUCAUUGAAUCCCAUAUUCCGCUGCAUUUAUGGGGCGUUGCAGUCUUCACAUCUUGACAUCUCAUUAAUGGAAUGCCAUCAUCUUCGAUUCAAAAUUAGGUUCCUCAUUCUAUACUACUUUCUCAGUCAUAUCUCUACUCUAUCCCCCUCGUGUUUUUGAGAGCAUGUGUUUUGUUCAUAACUUAGCCUUAGAAAAUAAUAAAUUAUCCCUUCGUGCUCUCAAAUGUGUCUUUCUUGGUUACUCUAGAGUUUAAAAAGGGUAUUGAUGCUAUUCACCUAAUUUGGGUUGCUACCUUAUGUCCACCGAUAUCAUAUUCGUUGAAUCUCAACGUUACUAUAUAUUUUAUGAUCAUCUUGAUAUCUUUGAGGUUCUACCCAUACCUCUAAUAUUACCCAUACCAACCUUUGAGGAGUCUACAUUUACUUUUACAUCUCCAGCUGCAGUGCCACUACUUUUAACUUAUCAUUGUUGCCCUGGUCCAUCAUAGUUCCAAAUGAUUCAUGUCACGUGCCUUAAGCUUCCCCUACUGUGGACUUGCCUCAUCUUAGCUAAUCAGUUACACUUUAAAAAGUGACGUGUUGAUAUUUUUCUGCUGUAAGACGAAUGCUAUUUCAGUGCAUGGCGCGUCGCACCAGAGACCAAAAUGGCACUUGUCAAUUUCCAAAAAUCCUCCGCGAUAGCCCUGCUUCGCACCAAGCUUCCAGGUCACAAUAAUUGUCAUUUUACCAAGCUCCGCGUCGUGCCGGGGCCCUAAAUCGGGAUAAAUUCUGCGUAGUUUUCAGUUUUCGUUUUAAACUCCUCAAGGGAAAUAUAGUAACUUACCAAAACCCUAUAUAUACUCUUUAAACACGGGAUUGAAGCCCCAAAGCAUCCCUUUACAUUAAUUUUAUCAAAAUUCACUCAAGAAUAGUCAAGAACAAGUCUAGGGUUUCCAUUGGGGUUUCAAG
Long non-coding RNA from Capsicum annuum, 2560 nucleotides. RefSeq lists it as uncharacterized. The transcript is spliced from 3 exons. Lineage: Eukaryota; Viridiplantae; Streptophyta; Magnoliopsida; Solanales; Solanaceae. The record is from RefSeq and is a predicted model, not a curated record.